Mus pahari (shrew mouse) is the source of this 321-nucleotide long non-coding RNA. RefSeq lists it as uncharacterized. The record is from RefSeq and is a predicted model, not a curated record. NCBI's taxonomy places the organism in Eukaryota, Metazoa, Chordata, Mammalia, Rodentia, Muridae. The transcript is spliced from 2 exons.
UUUUUCAUUUAAUUUUUUUUUUGACAAACUUCUGAAGCUUUCUUCGAUGAGGAGGAUGAGUUUCCUGUGUCGUUUGAAGUACAACUUUGUGAUUUUCCACAAUUCAAAAAUGGACAUCUACAUGAUGAAGAAAGCUGGAGACACCACUUCCCAGUAUCUAAAGGAAAUAAGUACAGCUAUACGUGUGACAAUGGGUUUUCACCACCUUCUGGACAUUCCUGGGACUACCUUUAUUGCACAGCACAAGGGUGGGAGCCUGAAGUACCAUGCAUCAGGCAAUGUGUUUUCCAUUAUGGGGAGAAUGGAGAAUCUUCAGACAUG